GACGAACGCUGGCGGCGUGCUUAACACAUGCAAGUCGAACGCUGAAGCUCAGCUUUUGUUGGGUGGAUGAGUGGCGAACGGGUGAGUAACACGUGAGUAACCUGCCCCCUUCUUUGGGAUAACGCCCGGAAACGGGUGCUAAUACUGGAUAUUCACUGGUCUUCGCAUGGGGGUUGGUGGAAAGGGUUUUUCUGGUGGGGGUGGGCUCGCGGCCUAUCCGCUUGGUGGUGGGGUGAUGGCCUACCAAGGCUUUGACGGGUAGCCGGCCUGAGAGGGUGACCGGUCACAUUGGGACUGAGAUACGGCCCAGACUCCUACGGGAGGCAGCAGUGGGGAAGAUUGCACAAUGGGCGCAAGCCUGAUGCAGCGACGCCGCGUGAGGGAUGGAGGCCUUCGGGUUGUGAACCUCUUUCGCUCAUGGUCAAGCCGCAACAAUGGUUGUGGUGAGGGUAGUGGGUAAAGAAGCGCCGGCUAACUACGUG
Molecule: ribosomal RNA, 482 nt
Filed under: uncultured bacterium
Lineage: Bacteria
Description: partial 16S ribosomal RNA
Rfam family: Bacterial small subunit ribosomal RNA
Source: RNAcentral